Molecule: ribosomal RNA, 445 nt
Filed under: uncultured bacterium
Lineage: Bacteria
Description: partial 16S ribosomal RNA
Rfam family: Bacterial small subunit ribosomal RNA
Source: RNAcentral
GUGGGGAAUAUUGGGCAAUGGAUGCAAGUCUGACCCAGCCAUCCCGCGUGCCGGAAGAAGGCCCUCAGGGUUGUAAACGGCUUUUGACGGUGAAGAAUCGACAGGAUGCGUCCUGUUUUGACGGUAGCCGUUGAAUAAGCACCGGCUAACUCCGUGCCAGCAGCCGCGGUAAUACGGAGGGUGCGAGCGUUGUCCGGAUUUAUUGGGUUUAAAGGGUGCGUAGGCUGGAAGGUCAGUCAGCGGUGAAAAGCUAUCGCUUAACGAUAGUCUUGCCGCAGAUACUUCCUUUCUUGGAUGAGGAGGAGGCCACUGGAACGGAUGGUGUAGCGGUGAAAUGCAUAGAUAUCAUCCAGAACACCGAUUGCGAAGGCAGGUGGCUGUACCUUAAUCGACGCUGAUGCACGAAAGCAUGGGGAGCAAACAGGAUUAGAUACCCGGGUAGUCC